CCUACGGGGGGCAGCAGUGAGGAAUAUUGGUCAAUGGGCGGAAGCCUGAACCAGCCAAGUAGCGUGCAGGAUGACGGCCCUACGGGUUGUAAACUGCUUUUAUACGGGAAUAACGCGCCUUACGUGUAGGGCUUUGCAUGUACCGUAUGAAUAAGGACCGGCUAAUUCCGUGCCAGCCGCCGCGGUAAUACGGAAGGUCCGGGCGUUUUCCGGUUUUAUUGGGUUUAAAGGGAGCGUAGGCCGCAUGUCAAGCGUGCGGUGAAAUGUCCGGGCUCAACCCGGGCCUUGCAGCGCGAACUGGCGGGCUUGAGUCCGCGGAAAGCAGGCGGAAUUCGUCGUGUAGCGGUGAAAUGCUUAGAUAUGACGAAGAACCCCGAUUGCGAAGGCAGCUUGCUAGGCCGGAUCUGACACUGAUGCACGAAAGCGUGGGGAUCGAACAGGAUUAGAUACCCCUGUAGU
Molecule: ribosomal RNA, 459 nt
Filed under: uncultured bacterium
Lineage: Bacteria
Description: partial 16S ribosomal RNA
Rfam family: Bacterial small subunit ribosomal RNA
Source: RNAcentral